Molecule: transfer RNA, 67 nt
Filed under: Thampoa tiani
Lineage: Eukaryota; Metazoa; Arthropoda; Insecta; Hemiptera; Cicadellidae
Description: tRNA-Phe
Source: RNAcentral
AUUUUAAUAGCUUAAUUUGAAGAGCUUUAUAUUGAAGAUAUAACGGUGAAUUUAUUUUCUUAAAAUG